RNAcentral lists this ribosomal RNA (564 nucleotides) under Anthophora pacifica. RNAcentral describes it as "eukaryotic LSU rRNA". The record is from RNAcentral. Lineage: Eukaryota; Metazoa; Arthropoda; Insecta; Hymenoptera; Apidae.
CAUCGUCAACGNGCUGGCUCCCGUUUGUGCGCGAUGCCCCGAAUGGAUCCUCGUGGUUCAUUGAGAGGGCACACCACUUACGGCUUGAACGUUUCCGGCAUCGUAGUCGUGCACUUCUCCCCUAGUANAACGUCGCGACCCGUUGUGUGUCGGUCUACGGCCCGGGUGGGACCCUGUCGCGUCGCUUCGUGCGCACGUCAACAGACCCUCGGUCGCCUGGCCGGCUGCACGACGGUACUCGUACGGUAUCGGGCCGCAACCAAACCAUUCUCGAAUGGUGUAUGCGUCAGGCCCGCCGCAAGCUCGAUCAGUUCUUACCCGGAGGUACGGACCUGGUGCCGUCCCCGGGCCUGUUCAGCUGUUGGCAGGCGGUGUCCUUCGACUGGCCAAAGUUCGAAUUACCGGUCGGCGACGCUAUUGCUUUGGGUACUCUCAGGACCCGUCUUGAAACACGGACCAAGGAGUCUAACAUGUGCGCGAGUCAUUGGGAUUGAUAAACCUAAAGGCGAAAUGAAAGUGAAGGUCGGCCUCCGCGUCNACCAAGGGAGGAUGGGCCCCGUUUAC